CGGUGUAAACAGCCGCGGCGGGCAGGCCAGGACUGUCAGUGCCCGCCCCUCGGGGCAGGUAAUUUCAUGCUCCCAAAAUGGGACACAAAGUGGUUGUCUUCGACAUUUCUGUCAUCAGAGCCUUGUGGGAAACUCGUGUCAAGAAGCACAAAGCUUGGCAGAAGAAGGAGGCGGAAAGGCUUGAGAAGAGUGCCUUGGAGAAGUACGUGUUUUCUCAACCUAGUCUUGUAGCUUGUUUGGUGAAUAAGGAUUUGGACAGGCAACAGUUGCGUUGUGGAGGAGGAUGCUUUUCUUCUGGGAUUUCUCACUGUUGGUAACAUUGUCCUCAUUAAACUUCAGAGCCUUACACUGUUGCUCAGUACAAAUAUGCAGUUCCUAUGAUAGCAACACCCAUGGUUAUAAGGACCUACCUACCACCCUGGUGGUAGGCACGAGGAAGACCGAGAUGACACGAUAAAUCCCCCUACAGCAAAUGCUGUAGCAGGCUGCCUCGCUAGAGUUCACUGAGCUAACUCACUAGGCUAUCUGGCGCUCUGGAGACCAUCUGACUGCCAUCUGGGG
Molecule: small RNA, 561 nt
Filed under: Pongo abelii (Sumatran orangutan)
Lineage: Eukaryota; Metazoa; Chordata; Mammalia; Primates; Hominidae
Description: retained intron
Source: RNAcentral